UUUUAUAGUUAAGUUUAUUAAGAUUAUAUAUAUAAUAAAUAUUAAAAUAAGUUUAAUUAUUUUGUUGGGGUGAUAGAAAAAUAAAAUAAACUUUUUUUAAUUUUUUACAUAAAUAAGUGAAAUAUAUGAUCCAGUUUUAUUGAUU
Molecule: ribosomal RNA, 145 nt
Filed under: Pterostoma palpinum
Lineage: Eukaryota; Metazoa; Arthropoda; Insecta; Lepidoptera; Notodontidae
Description: partial large subunit ribosomal RNA
Source: RNAcentral